GAGUUAAGGUUACAACUGGUGCUGUAGAUGACCUGCAAAGUCAUUCAAUUUAAGGUUCAAUUCCUUCUUAACUCU
Molecule: transfer RNA, 75 nt
Filed under: Coniophora puteana
Lineage: Eukaryota; Fungi; Basidiomycota; Agaricomycetes; Boletales; Coniophoraceae
Also listed under: 1 other name
Description: tRNA-Cys
Rfam family: tRNA
About the family: Transfer RNA (tRNA) molecules are approximately 80 nucleotides in length. Their secondary structure includes four short double-helical elements and three loops (D, anti-codon, and T loops).
Source: RNAcentral